This 520-nucleotide ribosomal RNA is filed under the name uncultured Ambispora. RNAcentral describes it as "SSU rRNA". It matches the Rfam family "Eukaryotic small subunit ribosomal RNA", at positions 569 to 1087 of the family's 1831-position model. The record is from RNAcentral. Lineage: Eukaryota; Fungi; Glomeromycota; Glomeromycetes; Archaeosporales; Ambisporaceae.
AGCAGCCGCGGUAAUUCCAGCUCCAAUAGCGUAUAUUAAAGUUGUUGCAGUUAAAAAGCUCGUAGUUGAAUUUUGGGUCUGGCCGGACGGUCCACCUUUCGCGGGUGAGCACUGCUCCGACGUCGGGCCUAUCCUUCUGGUGAGACGGCAUGCCCUUCGCUGGGUGUGUCGGGGAACCAGGACCAUUACCUUGAAAAAAUUAGAGUGUUCAAAGCAGGCAUUUGCUCGAAUACAUUAGCAUGGAAUAAUGAAAUAGGACGCGUGGUACUAUUUUGUUGGUUUCUUAGGACCGCCGUAAUGAUUAAUAGGGAUAGUUGGGGGCAUUAGUAUUCAAUUGUCAGAGGUGAAAUUCUUGGAUUUAUUGAAGACUAACUUCUGCGAAAGCAUUUGCCAAGGAUGUUUUCAUUAAUCAAGAACGAAAGUUAGGGGAUCGAAGACGAUCAGAUACCGUCGUAGUCUUAACCAUAAACUAUGCCGACUAGGAAUCGGGCGAUGUUAUUCUAACGACACGCCCGGCGCC